RNAcentral lists this ribosomal RNA (292 nucleotides) under uncultured bacterium. Its description in RNAcentral is "partial 16S ribosomal RNA". It matches the Rfam family "Bacterial small subunit ribosomal RNA", at positions 505 to 796 of the family's 1533-position model. The record is from RNAcentral.
GUGUCAGCAGCCGCGGUAAUACGUAGGGGGCAAGCGUUGUCCGGAAUCAUUGGGCGUAAAGCGCGCGUAGGUGGCCAUGUAAGUCCGCUGUGAAAGUCAAAGGCUCAACCUUUGAAAGCCGGUGGAUACUGCAUGGCUAGAGUACGGAAGAGGCGAGUGGAAUUCCUGGUGUAGCGGUGGAAUGCGCAGAUAUCAGGAGGAACACCAAUAGCGAAGGCAGCUCGCUGGGACGUUACUGACACUGAGGCGCGAAAGCGUGGGGAGCGAACAGGAUUAGAUACCCCGGUAGUCC